CCGUGCGAAGGUAGCAUAAUCAGUAGUCUUUUAAUUGAAGGCUUGAAUGAAUGGUUGGACGAGAGGUAAGCUGUCUCUUUUAUAUAAUUUGAAUUUAACUUUUAAGUGAAAAGGCUUAAAUUGUUUAGUGGGACGAUAAGACCCUAUAAAACUUGAUAUAAGUUUAAUUUAAUUUGUGAUUUAAGUGAAGAGCGAUUUUGUUGAAUUUAUAUUUUGUUGGGGAGAUGUAGAUAUAAAGUGUAACUGUCUAUUGAAUUUAAUAGUAAUAAUUAGUUUUUGAUCCUUCUGUGGAGAUUAAGAGAGUAAGUUACUUUAGGGAUAACAGCGUGAUUUUCCUUGAGAGUUCUUAUCGACAGGAGUAGUUGCGACCUCGAUGUUGAAUUAAA
Molecule: ribosomal RNA, 386 nt
Filed under: Macrobrachium alevillalobosi
Lineage: Eukaryota; Metazoa; Arthropoda; Malacostraca; Decapoda; Palaemonidae
Description: partial 16S ribosomal RNA
Rfam family: Bacterial large subunit ribosomal RNA
Source: RNAcentral